RNAcentral lists this long non-coding RNA (4230 nucleotides) under Homo sapiens (human). Its description in RNAcentral is "non-protein coding lnc-UAP1-4:1". Lineage: Eukaryota; Metazoa; Chordata; Mammalia; Primates; Hominidae. The record is from RNAcentral.
GGUAGUGUUUCAUUCCCUAAAUUAAUACCUGUGCUUCCUUGCCUCUCACCUUCCCAGUUACUUCUUUGGGGUAUUACUGUGGCACAUUGUACACCCAGAAAAGGCACAUACAGUGAUUAUUUUGUGGGAAAUACUUGAUUCUUUUGAAAUAUAUUUGGAGGGGGUAGCUAGCUAGCCACUGUCAAAACUAAUGCUGUAUUUACAGGACAAAAACAAGUAGAGUUGGACACCUCAGUAAGAGACAGCAUUAACUAAAAGUACUGACUGCCUUUUAAAGGAAUUUUUAAAACUAUUCUCUUGCAAUAAGAGAUCCGCAUUUAUUACCACUGGAUGUCUUCCUUUUUUGUGGCCACCAAUAUAGCAGCUCUCUUUAGAGGGAUUCCCUUUCUGCUAUGCCUUGAGCCAAACUGGCUGCUUUUAGAACAAAAACCAUAAGUAUGGUUUUACUCGAACUUCUCUUUGUUUUUAUUGAGAGAAAUAUUGCCUUCUUUUUGGUACUCCAGCUGCUAAAGAGUGCUGAGAUAUGUUAAAUUAUUUUUUAAAAGAAAAUCUCCAAAUACUUAUUUAACUUGUCUUCUAGAUUCAUGUUGCUUAUAUUUUAACUAUUGAGCAAGUUUAUUAUAAGGAAUGCUGCCAUAUAGAGAAAGCUGAAGAGAAACCAUGGGCAGAAGGCUUUUUUCUGUCUUAUUACACUGGACCUUCACUCUGGUAAGGGCAUCAGUUACUUUUCUGGAAUAAAAGGCGGAGUUAGAGCACUUAUCAGAUGCUGUUUCAUGGCUUGUUUUAGUUAAUUUAUCAUGCAGAUAACUAACAUUUGGGUAUCUUUUUGUUUUAGGUCUUAUUUUCUGACUGUUAGGCCUAUCUUACACAUAAGUUCUACUAUCAGUAUACUUGGCAGCAUGACUUUUUUUUUUUUUUACAGUUAAUUUAAUGAAAAUCAGCACCAUUGUAAAUGAUAGUAAUUGUAACAACAUAGUUACUGGGUGAAGGAGUAGGGGAGACACUCAGUAACCAUCUAUUUACCUAGACACUUAUGCAGGGGUACAUGCUAGGUGGCUUUAUUCAGAUUCGGGUACAUUGGAAUCACAUCAUGACUUUGAGUCUGAUGGCUGUGUAGAUAAAGAUUUAAGCAAGUGCCUUGUGUUUGCUGGAAAAUAUUAAAACUCAUUUGGGUGAAAGCUUCCCAGAUGAUGAUAAUUAAUAGCACUUCUGCCUUUUUCCUGGAGUAACUUUUAGAUUGAGUCACAUAUGAUAGUAUAAAAGUCCAAAAUUUUCUGGGUUUACCUUUGUUUUAUUUUUCAUAUAUAUAUUCACUGUCUGCCUGGAAAUAGCCUUGGUUUACCUUAUUUUUUUGUAUAUGUAAAACUAUUCAUAUUUGAUUUUAUUCCAAUAUUAUAUAUGAUGGAAAAGCCAGAAUUGUCUGGCAGAAUUUAAUUCUUCCUUGGAUCUCUAGUUCUGUUUUUAAUAUCAGGUUCCUUCAUCAAAUUUUACUACUGUAGCUCUGUGAUAUAAUUUCAUUUCUUGUCAAUUAUGGUCACAUAUAGACAAGUACUUGGUCACAAUUAGCUCAAAAGAAUCCCCAUUUCUUAAGGUGCUCAGUCAAUCACCUUUAUUUUGAGAUGGUAGUUUUUCAAGUUAGUAUUACUUACUAGCUUUCUUGAUGAAUAUAAAAAUGUUGUCUCCAUCAUACAGAGCUGAGCCUCUUGUGGUAUAUUAAGAUAAGUCCCAUUCUUAAUCACAGAAGAACAUGGAUAUUUUAGUUUUUGGAGUACCCAGAAUUGUAAAGAUUUUGUUUCAUUUUGUUUUAGGAUAGCUUCUCUGCCUAAUACUAUAGGAUAUGUCAUGUUCGUUAUUGUAGCCACCUCCCUCAGAUGUUUUUCACUAUUUUUAAAUUAUAUAAUGACCAGUAGAUUCACAGUAGCAUGUACUUGACAAGUGCCAUGGAUAUUUAAGAAGAAGGUAAAUAAUUUUAAUAUUUUUUGCUGUAAUUUUAUAGGAGCAGUGGACUGUAAGAGAAAUAUCUAUAAAUCAGAGAGUAUUUAGGAAACUUUGUAUUUUAUAGGUGGUCAUUAAAGUGAUCUUCAGGAUAUAAGAUAGUUUACACAAACUUUAUUCUCCUGAUAGGAAAUUUUUAUUCAUUUUCCUACCACUCAGCACUUUUGUUCUGCCUUGUACUGCUUAUGAGGAUUAAUGUUUUAAAUUUGCUUUAUUUGUGCUUUUCAGAGAGUUGUCAUAAUUGUGGCAGUUGUGUUUGUGGCACUGUAAAUGCUGAAAUUCAUGGGAAACUUACCAAAUGACUGCUUGAGUGUUAUUUCCCAUUAAAUUGGGUAGCUGUCACAAUAACCAGAAGAAAUCUUGUGGCCCUUUUGAAGAAAGCCAUGUAUGUUUUGUUACCUAGGUUCAUAGUAUUUUAAUUUAAAGGCAAAGAGAAGCAUUCUACUUAUUUGUCUUAUAAACCAUUAAUCGUUUUUUGUGCAGAAGAGAGCUUAUUUUGUUAUACUGCUUUGUAUAAUGGAAAUAAGUCACAUUCUGGGGGAAAAAAACUGGAAUUGUUUGUAUUUUGUUUUUUUGGGGGGGGAUCUUUAUGUGAAAAAUCAGAGCUACUUGUUACCAUAAGCCCUUACUAUCAACAAGAUAAUUAUUUGUAAUCACUUUUUUAUCCCAGGUUGGAAUUGCUUUCCCCUUCUAAGUUAUCUUCCCUUAAUAAUAUUUAUGAUACCAGGACAGUGAGGGUAUAAGAGCAAAUGUAGUGAGGUAUUCAAAAAUCCUGCAUAUAUGGACUCAAAAGUUCUUUAGUUAUUUGAAUUAUAUAUAGCUAUAUUAUUUUAUUAGCUUGGGUUGUCAGAAGAUUGCCAAUUUUAAGAGUAAAGAGGAGAGAGAUAAGUAAUAAAAAUAGAGGAGGGGAAGAAAAUGGCUCCCUUACUGGUCUUAGUAAUCUUCUAUAUAGUUAAUGAGCUAAAAAAUGAUACUUAAAGUUCCAGGUUUGGUACCGCUAGCAUAGAAACAUUGCCUUUCCUACACAUUCCUCAUCAUUGUUUCCUCAGAAAAUUAUUUUAAGAGUUUGUGAAACCAGAUUAAAUAUCUAUAUUCAGUUUGGCCUAAUUUUUAAAAAUAAAUAUUUAUACUCCAGCUUUUGUGUAUUUGGUGUACAUCACCACUUAUGCAAAUCAAGGAUCAGAAAACUGGAGGUUAGCCAUCUCCAUUAUUUCCUUUUGCACAUUGGGUACAGUGGGUGGCAUUAGUAUGCACUAGCUGCAAAGUCACAGCACCUUAUGGAAAUAAGUAUGUUUAUUAUAAUAAAAAAAAGUUAAGCUGCAUCUCUGUAGAUUAUUUACUUUGCAGACUGUAAAGCUGCCCUAUCUUUUCCAGCAGAAUUUACUCUUCCAUUCUUAAUUCUUUUUUGAAAUAUCUUAAAUAAUUUAACAUUCCUUUAUAACUUCUUAACAGUGUCAAAACUGGGGUAGAAGGGAUUUUAUUUUUUCCCAAAAGGGUUCCAUCUUUGCUAUCUGUUGAUCAGCCUUAGAAAAUCUAAGUAUGAUCAAUAAAUUUUAAUGGUUGAUGGCAUCCUGUGUCAGCUGGAGUAGUUGGUUGUGAAUAUUAAAACCUAGUACUAUUUUCCCUCAGUAACAUGUAAUUGCUACAUUUUUUAUAAGAAGGUAUGGUUAGAAAAAAAUGUGAAAGAUCACUUAAACCAAAGCCAGUUACAAGGAGUAAUCUCUCCUGUUGGUUUACCUUCACCUCAGAACUACAAGAAUAUUACAAUACAUAGUGAAUAGUUGUCUGUAACAUUUCUACCAGUUGUUUCAGUAGCAUAUUGGUCUUGGCAUUUCUUGGCACUGUGGUUCUGCUGUAUUAUUUGUGAUGUCUUAUUGUUUGUGAGCUUUUGUUUUUUUUUUAAAGAAAAAACAAAAACUAAGUGGGACUAUGUAUGUAGAUGUGUGUCAGUACCAAAAAGUUAUUUUCUCAAAUCCCUAAAUUUCUGAUUUCCAUUCAAGUCUUUUAAACUCUUUCCUGCUGAAUAGCAAAGAACUUUUAUUUUCCACUUUCCUAUAUUCCUAAAAAGUGUGAACAAUGCGUUUCAGUUGACUGUAUUGCAUACUUUUUUGCUGAAGACUUUUUCUGUAAACACAAUUGCCUUGUUCAGUUUUGUUGUAAACUGACUUACCAUAAGAUGCACUGUUGAUAAUGCUUUCUGAUGUGUGUUUGAUAAGAGUGAUAAAAUAAAAGCUU